Molecule: microRNA precursor, 118 nt
Filed under: Musa acuminata subsp. malaccensis (wild Malaysian banana)
Lineage: Eukaryota; Viridiplantae; Streptophyta; Magnoliopsida; Zingiberales; Musaceae
Description: mir-166 microRNA precursor family
Rfam family: mir-166 microRNA precursor family
About the family: This family represents the plant microRNA (miRNA) precursor mir-166. Animal miRNAs are transcribed as ~70nt precursors and subsequently processed by the Dicer enzyme to give a ~22nt product.
Source: Rfam by way of RNAcentral
UUUGAGGGGAAUGUCGUCUGGCUCGAGGCGUCCAUAACAUGAGAUCAAUAGAUCUUGUAUCUUCUUUCCUCUUCUUUUACAUCUGGGAGAUCUCGGACCAGGCUUCAUUCCCCCCAAU